GAUAAACGCUGGCGGCGUGCUUAACACAUGCAAGUCGAACGAAGUUUUUCCUUCGGGAGAAACUUAGUGGCGGACGGGUGCGUAACGCGUGGGUAACCUGCCCUGUACAGGGGGACAACAGCUGGAAACGGCUGCUAAUACCGCAUAAGCACUUAGCACUGCAUGGUGCAUAGGGAAAAGGAGCAAUCCGGUACAGGAUGGACCCGCGUCUGAUUAGCCAGUUGGCAGGGUAACGGCCUACCAAAGCGACGAUCGGUAGCCGAUCUGAGAGGAUGUACGGCCACAUUGGGACUGAGACACGGCCCAGACUCCUACGGGAGGCAGCAGUGGGGAAUAUUGCACAAUGGAGGAAACUCUGAUGCAGCGACGCCGCGUGAGUGAAGAAGUAUUUCGGUAUGUAAAGCUCUAUCAGCAGGGAAGAAAAUGACGGUACCUGACUAAGAAGCACCGGCUAAAUACGUG
Molecule: ribosomal RNA, 462 nt
Filed under: uncultured bacterium
Lineage: Bacteria
Description: partial 16S ribosomal RNA
Rfam family: Bacterial small subunit ribosomal RNA
Source: RNAcentral